RNAcentral lists this ribosomal RNA (496 nucleotides) under uncultured bacterium. Its description in RNAcentral is "partial 16S ribosomal RNA". It matches the Rfam family "Bacterial small subunit ribosomal RNA", at positions 28 to 506 of the family's 1533-position model. The record is from RNAcentral.
GAUGAACGCUGGCGGCGUGCCUAAUACAUGCAAGUCGAGCGAACGGACGAGAAGCUUGCUUCUCUGAUGUUAGCGGCGGACGGGUGUGUAACACGUGGAUAACCUACUUAUCAGACUGGGAUCACUUCGGGAAACCGGAGCUAAUACCGUAUAAUAUUUUGAACCGCAUGGUUCAAUAGUGAAAGUCGGUCUUGCUGUCACUUAUCGAUGGAUCCGCGCUUCAUUAUCUAGUUGGUAUGGUAACGGCUUACCAAGGCAACGAUGCAUAGCCGACCUUUGAGGGGGUUGCGGCACUCUGGAGCUGAGCCACCGUCCAGGCUCCGACGGGCGGCAGCGGUUGGGACUCUUCGCAAAUGGGCGAAAGCCUGACGGAGCAGCGGCACGUGAGUGCUGAAGGUCUUCGGAUCGGAAAACUCUGUUAUGAGGGAAGAACGUAUGUGUAAGUGACUGUGCAUAAGUUGACGUUACCGAAUCAGAAAGCCACGGCUAACUACGG